AUAGAAACAAUUUAGAAAAAAAACAGCGGUUUACAUAAAGACCAUGAACGUGUAGUUAAUAGAAGGUAAACUCUUGUCUUAUUGAGUUGGAACUUUCAAUAGAAGCAAAUAAAAUAAAUCAUAUUUAUACAACAAGAGUUUUAAGAUUGUGGCUUCAGUUAAUCUUUCUUCUUUUGACUCAUCUCCUGAUUAAAAAAUCGCUUACUAAACGUUGAAAAUCACUCUCAUGAUGUGUGGAAGUGGUAUUGGAGAAGAAGAAACUUUUAUCGAUGUGUGACGACUUUGGAUAAGAAACAUGAUCAAGAAGAAACAUUAGAUGUUCCGAAGCUCACCAAGGAGGAAACUAUCUCUGAAGUCCUUCCAACUAAUGAAAUGGCAGAAGCAGAAUCUUCAGAGCACGAGACACCCAUGUAUCUAUGGGACGCAGCUUAUUACCAGAGCCAAAGAAAAAGCCAAAAGGAAAGAGGGAGAGAGAAAACAAGAGAGGAGGAGGAGAUAGAUUUAUAAAUUGAAACCAUGGAGUAAUAUUUUGUUUUAAUAAACUCGAGUGUAGGUUGUUGACCAAAAAAACUAAUAGUACUAGUUUUCUUUAAAAACGACUUUAUAAAUUGCCGAAUUCAUUGUAUGUUUGUAAUAAUUCAUUUCUCAUUUGGAAAAAGAAAAUGUGGUAAUAAAGUAGUGACUUGUGAGUGACU
Raphanus sativus (radish) is the source of this 695-nucleotide long non-coding RNA. RefSeq lists it as uncharacterized. Lineage: Eukaryota; Viridiplantae; Streptophyta; Magnoliopsida; Brassicales; Brassicaceae. The transcript is spliced from 2 exons. The record is from RefSeq and is a predicted model, not a curated record.